AAUGAACGCUGGCGGCAUGCCUAACACAUGCAAGUCGAACGAAAAGUUCAGGUGUAGUGGCGCCCGACUGUGUCACGCGACGGAACAUGAACAUGGGGUUGACAUAACUAUCAGACCGGGGUACUAUCAGCGAAUAAUGUCUUCGGCCCAAAAAUUUAUCGCCCUUGUAUGGGCAAUCGUUGGAUUAGCUUGUUGGUACGGUAAUAGCCUAACACGGCCCCGAUCCAUAGCUGGGUAGUGAGGAUGCUCAGCCACACUGGGACUGAGACACGGCCCAGACUCCUACGGGAGGCAGCAGUGGGGAAUAUUGGACAAUGGGCGAAAGCCUGAUCCAGCAAGGCCGCGUGAGUGAUGAAGGCCGUAGGGUUGUAAAGCGCUUUUACCCGGGAUGAUAAUGACAGUACCGGGAGAAUAAGCUCCGGCUAACUCCGUG
This 433-nucleotide ribosomal RNA is filed under the name uncultured bacterium. RNAcentral describes it as "partial 16S ribosomal RNA". It matches the Rfam family "Bacterial small subunit ribosomal RNA", at positions 29 to 507 of the family's 1533-position model. The record is from RNAcentral.